UGUCGGGACCCGAAAGAUGGUGAA
This 24-nucleotide small nuclear RNA is filed under the name Arabidopsis thaliana (thale cress). RNAcentral's name for it is "snRNA_13995". Lineage: Eukaryota; Viridiplantae; Streptophyta; Magnoliopsida; Brassicales; Brassicaceae. The record is from RNAcentral.